UCAUCACCUGCCGCCUUGAACUCUGUCCAUGCUGUCUGUAAAGAUCGACUAAUCUCCAUUCAUCCGUCAGAGUGAAGGUUGCUAGCUGCCGUUUUGAGCUGUGCUGCUAAAGUGCAUGUUGAAGGUUAUGAAUGUGGUGUUGUAAGCUUUGCUCUACAAGUGUAUCUAAAAGGUUCCAAAUCCUAAAACACUUGAGACUUAAACACUCAAUUCUUGGCCUGAGACACUCAUAUCCAUGCAUUUACAGUCAUUGUCCUUGUACCUUCAAAACAUGGGGUGGUCUUAGGACUCAUCUAAGUCGUGCACAUAAUGCUAAGCCCUCUCGCACUGUAGAACAUGGUAUUUUGACUUGUCCUUCUUGUCCUGAAA
Long non-coding RNA from Melanotaenia boesemani (Boeseman's rainbowfish), 369 nucleotides. RefSeq lists it as uncharacterized. The transcript has 3 exons. The record is from RefSeq and is a predicted model, not a curated record. Lineage: Eukaryota; Metazoa; Chordata; Actinopteri; Atheriniformes; Melanotaeniidae.